AGAGUUUGAUCCUGGCUCAGAAUGAACGUUGGCGGCGUGGAUUAGGCAUGCAAGUCGCACGCUUUAUGUAGCAAUACAUGAAGAGUGGCGUAAGGGAGAGUAAUGCAUGGUUAGCUACCCUCGGGACUGGGAUAGCGGCGGGAAACUGCCGGUAAUACCGGAUGACAUCUUCGGAUCAAACGUGUAAAUCGGCCCGAGGAGGCGACCAUGUCCUAUCAGCUAGUUGGCGGUGUAACGGACCACCAAGGCUAAGACGGGUAUGGGGCGUGAGAGCGUGCCCCCACUCACUGGGACUGAGACACUGCCCAGACACCUACGGGUGGCUGCAGUCGAGAAUCUUCGGCAAUGGGCGCAAGCCUGACCGAGCGACGCCGCGUGCGGGAUGAAGGCCUUCGGGUUGUAAACCGCUGUCGUAGGGGAGGAAGGUCUGGUGUAUAGCCAGGCUGACCGUCCUAGAAGAAAGGGCU
RNAcentral lists this ribosomal RNA (467 nucleotides) under uncultured soil bacterium. RNAcentral's name for it is "bacterial SSU rRNA". It matches the Rfam family "Bacterial small subunit ribosomal RNA", at positions 8 to 494 of the family's 1533-position model. The record is from RNAcentral.